AACGCGAAGAACCUUACCUGGCCUUGACAUGCUGGUAGUAGAAGCCUGAAAGGGUGACGAUCCCGAGCAAUCGGGAAGCCAGCACAGGUGCUGCAUGGUUGUCGUCAGCUCGUGUCGUGAGAUGUUGGCUUAAGUGCCGCAACGAGCGCAACCCCUGUGUUUAGUUGCCUGCGAAAGCGGGAUCUCUAAACAGACUGCCUCGCUUUAAACGAGGAGGAAGGUGGGGAUGACGUCAAAUCAGUAUGGCCCUUACGGCCAGGGCUGCACACGUGCUACAAUGCAUGGUACAGAGGGACGCAAGACCGCGAGGUGGAGCAAAUCCCAUAAAACCAUGCCCAGUUCAGAUUGAAGGCUGCAACUCGCCUUCAUGAAGCCGGAAUCGCUAGUAAUGGCGCAUCAGCUACGGCGCCGUGAAUACGUUCCCGGGCCUUGUA
RNAcentral lists this ribosomal RNA (434 nucleotides) under uncultured Verrucomicrobiota bacterium. Its description in RNAcentral is "bacterial SSU rRNA". It matches the Rfam family "Bacterial small subunit ribosomal RNA", at positions 958 to 1385 of the family's 1533-position model. Lineage: Bacteria; Pseudomonadati; Verrucomicrobiota. The record is from RNAcentral.